AACGAACGCUGGCGGCAUGCCUAACACAUGCAAGUCGAACGAGACCUUCGGGUCUAGUGGCGCACGGGUGCGUAACGCGUGGGAACCUGCCCUUAGGUUCGGAAUAACUCCCCGACAGGGGUGCUAAUACCGGAUAAUUUCUUCGGACCAAAGAUUUAUCGCCAUUGGAUGGGCACGCGUUGGAUUAGCUAGUUGGUAGGGUAAAAGCCUACCAAGGCGACGAUCCAUAGCUGGUCAGAGAGGAUGAGCAGCCACACUGGGACUGAGACACGGCCCAGACUACUACGGGAGGCAGCAGUAACGAAUAUUGGACAAUGGGCGAAAGCCUGAUCCAGCAAGGCCGCGUGAGUGAUGAAGGCCUUAGGGUUGUAAAGCUCUUUUACCCGGGAUGAUAAUGACAGUACCGGGAGAAUAAGCUCCGGCUAACUCCGUG
This 433-nucleotide ribosomal RNA is filed under the name uncultured bacterium. RNAcentral describes it as "partial 16S ribosomal RNA". It matches the Rfam family "Bacterial small subunit ribosomal RNA", at positions 29 to 507 of the family's 1533-position model. The record is from RNAcentral.